CUGUGUUCUCUGCUUCACUGGGGUUAAAGAUUACAGAGAUAGCUGAGAAUCAGACAAGAAGCAGCAACAAAGCAACUGAGACAAACUGCAGACACCCAGGCAGGAGCAUCUCAUUAUGAGCAAAAGGUCAGUGAUGAGUCCUCAUCAGCCCUCUUUCACCACUCAGACGGCUGCUAUCGAUUCCUCUCACCUUGGACCAAAGGCUUCGAGCACAAACCGCUCCGACUCGACUCACAACGGAACGGAUGAACCAGAGAAGCACCGAGUCAGCGGAACACGAGGCCACAGCUUGUCAUUAUUCCUGUUUGUUUCACUGCAGAGCGAUCAAAGAUAACACUCAGAGGAGGCUGUCGAUGUGAGCGCUUCAGCUGUAUGAAUCUUUUAUUGUUUCUGUAACCUCUGGUGUCGCAUAGUCUGCACGCUGAGCUGUUAUUCACAACCGUCUCUUAGAGGUUCAUCUGAACAGAAAACUCAAAGACUGAAUGUGCAGACGCUCGCCUAAAAUGAUAAUGCAACAAAAC
This is a long non-coding RNA of Amphiprion ocellaris (clown anemonefish), 521 nucleotides long. NCBI's taxonomy places the organism in Eukaryota, Metazoa, Chordata, Actinopteri, Pomacentridae. The record is from Ensembl.